UACGGAGGGUGCAAACGUUGCUCGGAAUCAUUGGGCGUAAAGCGCACGUAGGCGGCCCAGCAAGUCGGGUGUGAAAGCCCUCGGCUCAACCGAGGAAGUGCACUCGAAACUACUGGGCUUGAAUACUGGAGAGGAUCGCGGAAUUCCCGGUGUAGAGGUGAAAUUCGUAGAUAUCGGGAGGAAUACCAGUGGCGAAGGCGGCGACCUGGGCCAAUACUGACGCUGAGGUGCGAAAGCGUGGGGAGCAAACAGG
RNAcentral lists this ribosomal RNA (253 nucleotides) under uncultured bacterium. RNAcentral describes it as "partial 16S ribosomal RNA". It matches the Rfam family "Bacterial small subunit ribosomal RNA", at positions 524 to 776 of the family's 1533-position model. The record is from RNAcentral.